GCCGAUGUGGCGAAAUGGUAGACGCACACGCUUCAGGUGCGUGCGAGGAAACUCAUGGGGGUUCGAGUCCCUUCAUCGGCA
This is a non-coding RNA of Clostridium sp. CAG:306, 81 nucleotides long. NCBI's taxonomy places the organism in Bacteria, Bacillati, Bacillota, Clostridia, Eubacteriales, Clostridiaceae. The record is from Rfam.